AUUGGAUUGUAGAUCAUGAGAAACACUAUUCCACAACAUACUAGAGGCGUUUCAGUCUCAAAAAUAUCCAAAAUCAAACAAAAAAAUUAAUUUAAUAUAAGAGCCUAUAAAUUUUAAUUAAUUUUAUUCAUAAAGAGUUCUUAGUAACUGGUCCAGGUGUAAUCUGUCGAAAAGCAGACUAUAAUGGGCAUUUUCCAUGGAAGACUAUUUUUUUCCCAAAAAAGACUUUUUUUUUUCAGAAACACAGCUAUGGUCGGCCAUGCCAAUUUUUACCUAGUUCCUAGCCCCGCGCCCCGUAAACCGAACAGCGCCAUAGAUGACAUCACUUCACUGCUAAUAUGAUCUUCACACUCCAGGACGGAACACAAUACACCACAUUAAUUAAAAAUUUUCAAUAAUAAUUUAAUAUUUUUGGAAAUGUAAUUAUCUAGGGAAUGUACACUCAUUAAUUACUUCAAAAUAUUAACACCUAUUCCUAAAUUGAUUUUAAAUCGAUGUAUUGUUAUGUUCAAUUAUAAAAUGUAUAGGAAAGUUA
Diabrotica virgifera virgifera (western corn rootworm) is the source of this 535-nucleotide long non-coding RNA. RefSeq lists it as uncharacterized. The transcript is spliced from 2 exons. The record is from RefSeq and is a predicted model, not a curated record. NCBI's taxonomy places the organism in Eukaryota, Metazoa, Arthropoda, Insecta, Coleoptera, Chrysomelidae.